CAUGGUUAGAUCCGUUCUAAGUAUAUCCCCCCGUAUCGCCUCAGACGUUGUGAACCCGAGUACGAAUCACAGCGCAUGCACAGACACAUACACACUCGCCCAUAAACUUCACUGCGCUCCCAGCAUCGACUGCCCACAUCUCUGUCUCCUCCCCUCUGCUCUGGCAGCGCCCCGUAGGUCUCUUGCCAUGCUGCUGAGCCGACGCUGGCACCAGGCCAGUGCUGCGCGUGGCAGCAGGGCCCCCGUCGUCUCCUUCACGGCUGCGGCGCUUACUAAAACGCUGGUGGCCGAUCCGCCGCCGCUGCCGCCGAUGAAGGGCGUCGCCUUUGGCACCCUCUUUACGCCGCACAUGGUGAUAAUCGACUUCAACGACGGCAGGUGGGGUGCGCCGGCGAUCGUACCUUUCGCCAACUUUUCGCUGCCGCCGCAGACGUCGUGCCUGCACUACGCGACACAGUGCUUCGAGGGAAUGAAAGUGUACGCGGACAUUGCCGACAUCACGAGGGCUGCGAGGGGUGAGAAGCUGGAGAAGCAGAGCCUGCGCCUGUUCCGCCCUGACCGGAACGUUGCGCGCCUGCGCCACAGCAUGCGCUCUCUGUGCUUCCCGGACUUUGACGAGGCGGAGAUGCUGAAGGUGAUCAUGGAGUUCGUGAGGACGGAGAAAGAUUACGUGCCUAAGGAGCACGGCUACUCGCUGUACCUGCGUCCGGCUGCUAUCGGCACCGCAGAUAGCCUCGGCGCCACUCCCUCGAGGUCGGUGCGUCUCUUCGUGAUUGCUUCGCCCGUGGGGCCGUACUACCUGCCGCCGGAGGACCAGUCGGGUGCGAUGGCCAUCAAGCCCGUGACGCUGCUUGCGGAGGAUAAGCGCAAGCGCGCGUGGCCCGGUGGCACUGGCGGCAGCAAGCUGGGUGCCAACUACGCUGGGCCGCUGCUGGUUCAGGAGGAGGCGCAGGCUCUCGGCUACAACCAGGUGCUGUGGCUCGGCUCCAAGGAUGAGGUGCAGGAGGCCGGAUUCAUGAACUUCUGCACGCUGUGGAAGACGAAGGAGGGCAAGACAGAGCUGGUCACCGCGCCGCUGGACGGGACGAUCCUGCCCGGCGUGACGCGCGACUCGAUCCUGGCGCUUGCACGGUCGUGGGGCGAGUUCGAGGUGUCGGAGCGCCCGUACUACAUGUCUGAGCUGGCGGAGGCGCUGCAGGAGGGGCGCGUGAUGGAGUGCUUCGGAUGCGGCACGGCUGCCAUCGUGUCUUCCGUGAGCAUGAUUGCGUAUCGCGGCAAGGAAUACAGCGUGCCGCUCUCGGAGCCGAGCUACGCGCGCCGGUUCCUGAACGAGAUCAUGGAUAUCCAGUACGGCAAGACGCCGAGCCCGUGGUCAGUGAAGGUUGAGGCUUAAAGCAGGUUUCGUCUGAUCAGAUGAUGGUGGUGCGGCGAUGAUCUGGGCAAGAGAGAGGCAAGUGUGCCAGGGUGCCUUGCUAGUCAUACAGAUAGUCGCACAUGUGCCCGUGUGACAUCCGUAAGAAGGUCGGAAGCUAACAGAUGAGAUACGCGCGCCUGGGUUCCGUACUCUACUUGGGUGUGCUGCGUCCCUCUGCGAUCUGCUCCCUCCACGACCAUGACCACGACAAUCACCGUCUUCUCUCACGCCUCGCUAACCUUCUUUUAUGACUGCUAUUGCUGGUGUGUGUGAGUGCGCGUUUUUUUUGGUAUCGUUGUUGUUUGUACCCCACUGGCGAGGAGCGGUGUGGAAGUUAGUCGGUGCUCGUCAAAGCCGUUACGUGCAUGAACGCCGAGGAACCCCCGCCUGACCGCGCCCUCCCCCUCUCUUUCUUUCUCUCUUGUUUAACGCAGACACACACACACACACACACACCAGACACGCGUGCUUCGUUCUUCAUGUUCCAAAAAUUGUUUUUGUGUGUGCUUGUGUGAUUGGCUAAUGCGUAGUCGCGGCCGACUCACGCGCAUGUAUGUUCAUUUUUUGUUUGACCCUCUGUGUGUGCUGGCGCAUAGGCGCUCUCCUUCUCCCCCCUCCUCCUCUGGGCAACACUGUCUGCCUCCACCACCGAACUUUUCUCUCUCCAAAAGAUGUUCAUUUUUUUUUGUUGUUAUCUACUUUCAUUGACCUAUCGCAUGAUCUUUUCUAUAUAUCGUUUUCCUUAUGUAUAGAUAUAUUGCUAUAUCUAUAUCUAUUCCGCCUCGCCGCUUCUUCCACUCGGAGGUGUCAGAACGUGGAGGGGAGGGGCAGUCCGCCGCCAUCAUCGACCGUUCCGUCGUCGAGCUCGCGACGACCAUAUGGCUGCUCUCGCUGCUGGUGGUGAUGUCGACGGGCGUUGUAGUGCCGAUGCAGCGAAGCGAAGCGCGGUGGGUGUCGUUCUGGCGAGGUCGGAAGCGCGCCGGCUACUUCACUCCAUCGUGUCACUCUCUUCUUUCCCACCGACUCCAACCGACUUGGCCUCCCCUGCCGCCCUUUCACACACACUAAUCCCUCACUCACCUAUAUUCCUUCGCUUUUGUAAUUCUUGUCUUCCCUCUCGCUCAUGUCGGCGAUCGCGGCAGCGAAAAUGAACAACGCUCCGAUGAAGCGAUGCUGCGACUUCAGGCCUCUCUCUCGCGCGAGAUCGCGACUUCUCUUUUCUUUCCGUUGACCAACGGC
RNAcentral lists this unclassified non-coding RNA (2653 nucleotides) under Leishmania donovani. RNAcentral's name for it is "gene:LdHU3.27.3010(CDS-product:branched-chain_ami no_acid_aminotransferase_putative)". Lineage: Eukaryota; Euglenozoa; Kinetoplastea; Trypanosomatida; Trypanosomatidae. The record is from RNAcentral.